RNAcentral lists this ribosomal RNA (322 nucleotides) under Allapsidae sp. RNAcentral describes it as "SSU rRNA". The stretch from base 63 to 322 matches the Rfam family "Eukaryotic small subunit ribosomal RNA", at positions 694 to 955 of the family's 1831-position model. The record is from RNAcentral. Lineage: Eukaryota; Cercozoa; Glissomonadida; Viridiraptoridae.
GAUUUCUGGUUUGGUGCGCCUGGCCCGCCACGGUUACGUGUGUGAGUGCUGGGUCGCGCCUGCCAUCCUUCUAGAAAACGUUACUACUCUUCAUUGAGCCGGUAUCGCAAUCUAGAUCUUUUACUUUGAAAAAAUUAGAGUGUUUAAAGCAGGCUUUUGCUAUGAAUACAUUAGCAUGGAAUAAUAAUUUAGGACUUCGGUUCUAUUUUGUUGGUUUCUAGGACUGAAGUAAUGAUUGAUAGGGAUAGUUGGGGGUGCUAGUAUUGGCCGGCCAGAGGUGAAAUUCUUGGAUUCGGUCAAGACUAACUUAUGCGAAAGCAUU